UACGUAUGGAGCAAGCGUUAUCCGGAUUUACUGGGUGUAAAGGGUGCGUAGGCGGCACAGCAAGUCAGAUGUGAAAGACCGGGGCUCAACCCCGGGGCUGCAUUUGAAACUGCCGAGCUUGAGUCCGGGAGAGGCAGGCGGAAUUCCUAGUGUAGCGGUGAAAUGCGUAGAUAUUAGGAGGAACACCAGUGGCGAAGGCGGCCUGCUGGACCGGAACUGACGCUGAGGCACGAAAGCGUGGGGAGCAAACAGG
This 253-nucleotide ribosomal RNA is filed under the name Anaerobutyricum hallii. RNAcentral's name for it is "partial 16S ribosomal RNA". It matches the Rfam family "Bacterial small subunit ribosomal RNA", at positions 524 to 776 of the family's 1533-position model. Lineage: Bacteria; Bacillati; Bacillota; Clostridia; Lachnospirales; Lachnospiraceae. The record is from RNAcentral. RNAcentral also lists the same sequence under 1 other name.